UAAAAGAUAAGCUAAAUAAAGCUAACGGGCUCAUACCCCGCUAUGAGAUUUAUACCUCUCUUUUAA
This 66-nucleotide transfer RNA is filed under the name Pagurus longicarpus (long-clawed hermit crab). RNAcentral describes it as "tRNA-Met". Lineage: Eukaryota; Metazoa; Arthropoda; Malacostraca; Decapoda; Paguridae. The record is from RNAcentral.